GCCUGGGUAGCUCAGUGGGUUGAGCAUCUGACUUGAUUUGGGCUCAGGUCAUGAUUCCAGGGUUGUGGGAUUGAGCCCCACAUUGGGCU
RNAcentral lists this transfer RNA (89 nucleotides) under Felis catus (domestic cat). It matches the Rfam family "tRNA". Rfam says of the family: Transfer RNA (tRNA) molecules are approximately 80 nucleotides in length. Their secondary structure includes four short double-helical elements and three loops (D, anti-codon, and T loops). Further hydrogen bonds mediate the characteristic L-shaped molecular structure. tRNAs have two regions of fundamental functional importance: the anti-codon, which is responsible for specific mRNA codon recognition, and the 3' end, to which the tRNAs corresponding amino acid is attached (by aminoacyl-tRNA synthetases). tRNAs cope with the degeneracy of the genetic code in two manners: having more than one tRNA (with a specific anti-codon) for a particular amino acid; and 'wobble' base-pairing, i.e. permitting non-standard base-pairing at the 3rd anti-codon position. The record is from Rfam by way of RNAcentral. RNAcentral also lists the same sequence under 6 other names. Lineage: Eukaryota; Metazoa; Chordata; Mammalia; Carnivora; Felidae.